Molecule: long non-coding RNA, 193 nt
Organism: Bos indicus x Bos taurus (hybrid cattle)
Lineage: Eukaryota; Metazoa; Chordata; Mammalia; Artiodactyla; Bovidae
Source: Ensembl
GUGGUUUAGAUGGUAUGUAGAAGAAGCCUUCAUGUAGACUUGAAGCUAAUGACCUAGUAAGACUUCUGAGAGCAACAGCAAAUAUAUUCAAUACUGAGAAUAUUUCAUUUGUAUUGAACACAAUGAGAAGGUGGAUAAAUGUGUAAGUACAAAAAAAUCCUGUAAACUUGUGUGUGUGUGUGUGUGUGUGCAC